AUUGAACGCUGGCGGCAGGCCUAACACAUGCAAGUCGAACGGUAACAGGAAGAAGCUUGCUUCUUUGCUGACGAGUGGCGGACGGGUGAGUAAUGUCUGGGAAACUGCCUGAUGGAGGGGGAUAACUACUGGAAACGGUAGCUAAUACCGCAUAACGUCGCAAGACCAAAGAGGGGGACCUUCGGGCCUCUUGCCAUCGGAUGUGCCCAGAUGGGAUUAGCUAGUAGGUGGGGUAACGGCUCACCUAGGCGACGAUCCCUAGCUGGUCUGAGAGGAUGACCAGCCACACUGGAACUGAGACACGGUCCAGACUCCUACGGGAGGCAGCAGUGGGGAAUAUUGCACAAUGGGCGCAAGCCUGAUGCAGCCAUGCCGCGUGUAUGAAGAAGGCCUUCGGGUUGUAAAGUACUUUCAGCGGGGAGGAAGGGAGUAAAGUUAAUACCUUUGCUCAUUGACGUUACCGGCAGAAGAAGCACCGGCUAACUCCGUG
Molecule: ribosomal RNA, 490 nt
Filed under: uncultured bacterium
Lineage: Bacteria
Description: partial 16S ribosomal RNA
Rfam family: Bacterial small subunit ribosomal RNA
Source: RNAcentral